This 253-nucleotide ribosomal RNA is filed under the name uncultured bacterium. Its description in RNAcentral is "partial 16S ribosomal RNA". It matches the Rfam family "Bacterial small subunit ribosomal RNA", at positions 524 to 776 of the family's 1533-position model. The record is from RNAcentral.
UACAGAGGGGGCAAGCGUUAUUUGGAAUUAUUGGGCGUAAAGGGCGCGUAGGCGGCCUGGCAAGUGGAAGGUGAAAUCCCUCGGCUUAACCGAGGAACUGCCGUCCAAACUGCUUCGCUUGAGACCGGGAGAGGUGAGUGGAAUUCCCAGUGUAGCGGUGAAAUGCGUAGAUAUUGGGAGGAACACCAGUGGCGAAGGCGGCUCACUGGACCGGUACUGACGCUGAUGCGCGAAAGCGCGGGGAGCAAACAGG